RNAcentral lists this ribosomal RNA (253 nucleotides) under uncultured bacterium. RNAcentral's name for it is "partial 16S ribosomal RNA". It matches the Rfam family "Bacterial small subunit ribosomal RNA", at positions 524 to 776 of the family's 1533-position model. The record is from RNAcentral.
UACAUAGGUCUCAAGCGUUGUUCGGAUUUAUUGGGCGUAAAGGGUUCGUAGGUGGUGCGGUAAGUCGGGUGUGAAAUCUCGGAGCUUAACUCCGAAAUUGCAUUCGAUACUGCCGUGCUUGAGGACUGGAGAGGAGACUGGAAUUUACGGUGUAGCAGUGAAAUGCGUAGAGAUCGUAAGGAAGACCAGUGGCGAAGGCGGGUCUCUGGACAGUUCCUGACACUGAGGCACGAAAGCCAGGGGAGCAAACGGG